UUUGUUGUACCCCGUUAUGUCAAAAAUUUCUUGCCCUUUUGGAGGUUUAAGUUUUUCUGCCAGCAUUCAGUUGAUGUUCUGUGCAAGUCAUUUUACAUGUAGAUGUGUUUUUUUGAUGUGCUUGUGGGAGAAGGUGAGUGUGACCUCUUACUCCUCUACCAUCUUGUUCCUCCCUCCCUCAUUUAAUGUUAAACAAAGUGAAACACAGAAGUGACAAGACUUGGACAAGCUUAUAAAAGUAGUGAGCAACAGGACUAAGAUUCAAACCCAAGAACAUUGGAUCCAAAAAUUGAUCAUACUCAGCCUUUUCCUCUUUGAAGUUGAGAGUCAUGGAAACAAGAAACAUGAGUAGAAAAUCCAAAGUUAUGGUGUGUGUGAUCUCAGGCUGGUCACAAGAAGCAUCAUGAAGAUACGCAUGGAAAUAAGUUCCAUACCUUGAGGCACUGCAUCUUAGCCAUCCUUGCUUCUCCCACAGGCUUAUAGUGUACCACUAGAUGCCUCUUGCAGAAUGAGAAGACUACUGGUAUUGGGUGCUUAGCCCCAUAACAGAAGCUGGUCACUCACAUCUUUCAUGUUCUCCACUCACCCUAUCUUCAACCUUUGGUAAUUUGUAAGUCUGCUCUGGACUCAGUACGUCUCUGUAACCACGCCUUCUUCCACUGUGAAGCUAGCCCUUGAUGCCAACCCAUGAGCCACGGUUACACAUCUGCACUAACUCUCUGUCUAUCAUUCUCUCUAGCUGCCUGUUCAUCCUUGGCAGGGAUGGUGGGAGCUGAAGUUCAAGGUAGAUUAAAUGACAAAACCUUGAACAGUUUUAACAUUCAUCCCUGGGAUGAGAAGUUCUAGGCCCCUUUCCAAAGAAGAGGGGAGGAAUGAUGAUUGGUGUUUUGGGGGGCCACUGAUUUUCAGUCAUUCAAGUCAAGGUCUCUAAAGUGUCUUUCUUCCUUCUUCCUCAUGUAAGCAGGGCAAUUUGGAGCUUAGCAGUCUCACAAGUAAAAUGGCAGAUCAGAAUGAGACCAAUGAGUGAGUGGUGCUUUUCAACACCUCCCAAGACAUCCUCCAAGUGUGACAUCUAAACCAGCAGCAUCAGCAUCACCCAGGGAACUUGCAGAAAUGCAGAUGCUUAGAUCCCACACAAGACUGACUGAAUCAUACUUUUUAUUUUUUUUGUCUUUUUGCCAUUUCUUGGGCUGCUCCUGUGGCAUAUGGAGGUUCCCAGAAAAGGCAAAAAGACAGAAAAAAAAAAAAAAAAACCCAAAACAAAAACUACUGCCCUCAACUCUUCAGUGGUCUCACUACAAAUUCCAGUUUUAUAAAGUAUUGACACCCCCCUUUCCAUCCUCCCACUCCUGUAGAUUCUGAAUGUAGUUGUUUUGAGUAUGGCCUGGGCAUUGAGAGUUUAAAAUUGCCUCUCGAGAUUUUCAAGUGCAGCCAGGGUUAAGGACGAUCCUUCCAGGAUCAAAAAUAUAGCUGAACAGGAAUGGAUAAAAUAGAGCCUGAAGGCAGGUGAAGGAAGGUGCUUACUCUGGGCUUUCUGAUUGAAGGUUAUCAUUACACUCAAUCCUCAAAUAAGAGAAGGCAGCCUCUUCUCAGGAUGUUUUAUGUCCCAGCAUAAUGUCUAGCCAGCAAUCCAGCUAUUUCUAGCCACUGGAAAGAAGAGGACUUGGGUAAAUUGACCAGGUGGAUUAAACAGUGAUGGCCUUCCACUCUCCCUUCUCCUGUGCCCAUGAACUUUCCUUUCAAUCUCUUAGGCUAUUUGUUUUCAAACUUGUCAGCACCAUGGACUUCCCUGGGAAAUUUGUAAAAUGUUGAUUCCUGGGAUCCUGCUUCUGGAGUUUCAUAUCUAAUUGGGGAAGAGUAUGGCCUGUGUAUCAGGAUUUGUAAAAAAUCUCCCCUGGGGGAUUCUAAUAGACAGUGAGGGGGAACAGAAUAUGCCACCCCCAAGUCUGCAUCUUUGUCUUUUUUUUAGGGCCUCACCUGCAGCAUAUGGAGGUUCCAGGGCCAGGGGUCGAAUAGGAGCUGUAGCCACUGGGCUAUGCCACAGCCACAUUAGAUCUGAGCUGCAUCUGCAACCUAUACCACAGCCCAUGGCGACACCAGAUCCUUAACCCACUGAGUGAGGCCAGGGAUUGAACCUGCAUCCUCAAGGAUACUAGUCAAAUACGUUUCUGCUGAGCCAGAACAGGAACUCUCCAAGCCUGCCUCUUUGGCAUAAAGAUUAUUUGGAAAGCUAGCAGACACAUGAAGAGUUCUAAAAGCUGAGCAGAAGUAGCAGUUACCCUCUUAUAAGGGACAUUUACAGUUACAAGGGAGACCUCUGUGUAACAGUGUCUCCUUCUCUGUACCAGGAAGACAAUGACAACUACAUUCCCAGAAACUCAUGAAUGAAGAAGGCACUGACUUCAUCUUCCUAAUAAACUUUACCCUUGUUUACCUGGUCACCUCCCAUAGCCAGACUCCCUCUUCCCACCACUUUCCUUUUGUACUUAAGCAGGUGGCUUAGGCCAUCUCAAGGCCACCAUAAAAAGUUAUUCAUUUUCCUUGGGGAUUUCCCACAUAUACAGGAGGUAUAUAUGUUAAUGUUAAUAAACUUCUCUCUGUAAUUUUUUGUUAAUCUUUUCUCACAGGGAGUCUCAGCCAAGAACUUGGGAGGGUAGAGGGAAAUGAUUUUUCCUUCCCUACAGCAAUGAAAUUUGAAGACCAUUGACUGCUGUAGGCCACUGGCUCUCAGCCUUGCCUGCAACUUGGAAUUACCCAGAGCAGCUUUUAAGUAUCCUGAUGCCUGAUAGCCCAAGACCCUGAUUUCAUUGCUCUGGGGUUCAGCCAGAUGGGUUGGGUUUUUAAGCUCCCUGAGUGCUUCUAACUUGGAGUCAAAAUUGAAAACCACUAGUUUAGGCAUUUGGCUUCCCUUAUCUUCAAGAGAGCGAUCAGCUGUGUUUUGGCAUGCAGGAUUCAAGGGUGAACAUUUUCAUAGAUAGCAGAUGACUGUACAGGUUGUGGGGUGGGGAAAUAUCCUUCUAUUUCUCCAAAAUCACUGAUCGCUUCACCUGUUCUUAAGGCUGGGCAACCUUUUCCACUAAGCCCCAUGACCAGCACACAGUAGAGCAUCCCCUUAGCCUUAUGAAAUGGAUUCAUCUCUCCUGAGCCCACGAGACCCUUCCCAACCACCCAUCCAAUGGUCAUGUAAAUUGCCUAAGUCAAGGGUUCUCAAUUUGCUGCAUUUGGAAACUUCUUAAAAAUACCAAUGUCUGGGCCCCACCCCCAGAUCAUGUGAUAUAACUGCUCUGGGGUGCAAAGUAGGCAGAGGGAAUUUUAAGAAUCUCAGAGGACUGUAAUGAUCAAUUAAGUCUGAAAGCCACUGGCCCAAUGAGAUUUGACUUAGUAAUGGGAAACUGACUUUUGAGCCAAAAGAGCUGAACAAAAGUAGUAAACAAGGUAUGCAGACAUGCAGAAUGGCUUCUAUUUAAGGGCUCCCAUACAAGGUGGUGAAGAGUUUGUAAAAGCAGCAGAGGAUGCUUGCAGAUGAAUUGCUACUGAGAACCCUGUAUUCCAAACCUAAAUGGUCCCCUCCCACAGCUAAGACCCCUGCAGUGUAUGAGCGGCUCCUGCGUCAACUAUGCAGAGUUCACAGAUAUGCCAGUUCUACAGAUGUGAAGGCAAAGCAGCUCUUAUGCAAAACAGUGCCUCUCAACUCUCUCCCUCCUGGUGGGUGAACUUUAUACCGACAUCAAAUGCAAAUUAAAGAUAAACCAAUUUAAGUACUAACUGCCUCUACCUGGUCUCCCCAGGGAGCUGGUGUUUGCGAUUGCACUUUCAAAGCUGUGUGCCACCUGCAGACUGUCAUUUUCAUCAGAUGUACAUAAUUACACAGCCUCAUUUUUGAAGCUAUCCCCUGGCAUGCAUCUCCAGAUUCCACAGUCAUGGAAGACCUUUUCCCAAGUUAAAAUAUCUCCCCCACCCCCCUUUCAGAGGGCACUAUCAGUUUCAAGAUGAGCAUCCGAGAAGAGUUGCCGCCCAUGGCAGCACUCUUGAGGUAGAUUUUGAAGAGAAGUUUAAGUUAAUGUCAGAAGAGAGAAUUGGAUGCUUUGCACUCUGGUUACAAGUCCAUCCCCUGGCUGAUAGGGCUGAGUUCCAGAAGAUGAGUCACAAUGAGUGGGACGUGAAUGUUAAUGGCAAGGAAUAGUAUGUAACAGGAAUCCUCUGAACCAUGGCUAAAGGCAGACAAACAAGUGGGAGGAAAGCUUGUUGCUUCAGAUUUUCUUGGGCCAUGUGAUCUGGAGACAAACAUAUAGAACAUCUGGGAGGCACUGCAGUGGUUUCACCCAGAUGAGCCCACUGGGAGCUCUUACUACAUGCAGAUGAUGUGCUGUCCAUCGUAGUGGGGGUGAGAAUGAAAAUGGUUAUUUCCAAACUUCCCACUGGCUCUACACAGCCCUCUGCCCACACAGAGGGCAGAUGACUAAACCAGAAUAACUCUGUUUGGUUCAGCCUGGAAACUUAGGAGAUUCUGCCAGCCAAGCUGUGUAUCCAGGUCACAGUCAGAAACAGAGAGAUGAAAAGCAAAAGCAUUUCAUUAAGCACACUGUCUUUUCUGAACUGUGUUUCAAAUUCCAGUCAAGUUUAAAAUGUAAAAAUCUAUACAGGUGGGGAGUUCCUACCAUGGCUCAGUGGUAACACACCCAACUAGUAUCCAUGAGGAUGCGGGUUC
This 4708-nucleotide long non-coding RNA is filed under the name Sus scrofa (pig). RNAcentral describes it as "lncRNA (ENSSSCG00060025952.1)". The record is from RNAcentral. Lineage: Eukaryota; Metazoa; Chordata; Mammalia; Artiodactyla; Suidae.